This 1709-nucleotide small RNA is filed under the name Cryptococcus neoformans H99. Its description in RNAcentral is "Cryptococcus neoformans var. grubii H99 hypothetical RNA". The record is from RNAcentral. Lineage: Eukaryota; Fungi; Basidiomycota; Tremellomycetes; Tremellales; Cryptococcaceae.
CCAUUCUUAUCCGUCCGUUAAAUACUCCACUAUCACAGCGUAUCUCGACUCUGAAUUACUUGGGCAGCAACGAUACCUGCUAUGGGAUGAAGUUGCUUCCCAAAAGCCAAGACUACUUACUUCAUUUACACCGCAUUUACACCGUUUCAGUGUCAGAAAACCGCAUCGAAUCAACUAUAUCUAUCUUCAGUACUAUCAAGGUCAUGGAAUGAAGAGCUGGGUGCAAACAUAGAGUCAUGGAUCUAGUCUGCCACCCAUGUACCGCCACCAAAUACUACUCGAGAGAGCCGUCUAGCUGCAGUGGGGAAGAUUCAAACCCGAGGGUGGCGUGGCGGAUUUGUGCAAUGGGAGAUGAACUCCCCGCCCAGUCGCUUUGUAUUUCUACAACGAAUCGAAACCAAUGUUGAGGAAGCUUCAACGCAAUUCAUCCAUCUUGCACCCCCCCUUUUUCCUAUAUCGCGCAAGUGUGUGCCAUGGCCACCCUGAGGGAUCCGUUGAUGAGGUUCAAGCCAGGCAUUCCUUAUGAGAUAAGGUACGGAUUGAUUGAGGGCGAUGUUCUUUUCCUGAUCAUGUACUGGUGCUUUCGACCCCUCGUUGCUUUUACCAGUUCUAUUCAUCUUUGACAUCCCAUCUUGCUUUCUAAUCUGCCCGUCUACAUUAUUUUACCUGGGCGCAACCGUUCCAUUCAACAUUAGGCGGCAGUUUUGAGGGAUUGAGAGGAGAGAUAGAAGUUUGGAUCAGGCAAGAGAUCAAACGCUGUCAGAGGAGAGGCAAUAUAUGCCGAAUGAUUAUGUUAACUGGAUGACACAAGAACCGGCCUUUCUCUGACAUCUGCUCGCCUUCUGCGGUCGCCAAUCCACAACCUUUUCACUCAUUAUCCAUCCCUCGGCCUCAUCUGGUCACUCUCAUUCUUCAUGUCAACCUGCCGACUAGUAUCCUUGUAGGUUUGAUCUCCUGCUAUCUCCGCUUCGCCUUCUCAAGCAUAUCCCGUCACAACGGUGUAGUUUCCCAACCAGCUUUCGUUGCGGUCAUAGGCUAAGAGAGACUCGAGUUGGAUAAAGAGAGAUCGAUGCGAUAGGGAUAACAGGGAAUCAUGAAGGACCGAGAGCAGAAAAUGAUGAGGAUUGGAAGGGAUGUCACGAGAUCAGCAAAGGAAUGUGUCUGGCUUUCACGGGUUCCAAGCGACAAUCUAAGCGAGGAAACACAAGAAGAGAGGCACCAGUGACUGAGCUUGACAGAAUAUGCAAGAGGACCGUCACAAGGGACGAGGAGUUAUUGAGCAGUUGAAUGCUGGCAACGUACUAUGCUUUACGGUCUUGACAAAAAGUUUUCAAAGUCUUUGCGAGAUAGUUACGACGGAAAAGGUCAUUGAGCGGAGCCGAAAUAUGUCAAAUCAGCACGCCGUUUCAAGUGUAGGGAAGCGAGAGAGGCCGGGAAGAUAGAAAACAGGGCUAGCGAUGGGGGGUAUAUGUGUGUGGAUGGACGGAAGUUUACAGUAAAAUUCAGGCUUAUGCUCUUAGCAAGAUAAAGUGCGCACCUAUACGCAGUGUCUUCUAUCAUGUUGUAGAAGCACAACUUAGAAUAAGCGCAAUAGGUGGCAUGAUGCAGAGUAGAAGAGCAUCUGCUAAUGGACUGUGACUUGGGUAAGCCUGUUCUUUCGCACCUUAGCGCUCUCUGUUGCGCAUUAUAACCUAUGCAUUGCAUCCUAC